Molecule: ribosomal RNA, 253 nt
Filed under: uncultured bacterium
Lineage: Bacteria
Description: partial 16S ribosomal RNA
Rfam family: Bacterial small subunit ribosomal RNA
Source: RNAcentral
UACGUAGGGGCCAAGCGUUGUUCGGAUUUACUGGGCGUAAAGGGCGCGUAGGCGGCCUAGCAAGUCACUUGUGAAAUCUCCGGGCUUAACUCGGAACUGCCAAGUGAAACUGCUGGGCUAGAGUGCAGAAGGGGCAAUCGGAAUUCUUGGUGUAGCGGUGAAAUGCGUAGAUAUCAAGAGGAACACCUGAGGUGAAGACGGGUUGCUGGGCUGACACUGACGCUGAGGCGCGAAAGCCAGGGGAGCAAACGGG